This 423-nucleotide ribosomal RNA is filed under the name uncultured bacterium. RNAcentral describes it as "partial 16S ribosomal RNA". It matches the Rfam family "Bacterial small subunit ribosomal RNA", at positions 361 to 776 of the family's 1533-position model. The record is from RNAcentral.
AUAUUGGACAAUGGUCGAAAGCCUGAUCCAGCCAUGCCGCGUGUGUGAAGAAGGUCUUCGGAUUGUAAAGCAACUUAAGUUGGGCGGAAGGGUGGUAGUUUAAUACUCUGCAGUUUGGACGUUACCUACAGAAUAAGCACCGGCUAACUACUUCACAGCAGCCGCGGUAAUACGAAGGGUGCAAGCGUUAAUCGGAAUUACUGGGCGUAAACCGCGCGUAGGUGGUUCGUUAAGUUGGAUGUGAAAGCCCCGGGCUCAACCUGGGAACUGCAUCCAAAACUGGCGAGCUAGAGUACGGUAGAGGGUGGUGGAAUUUCCUGUGUAGCGGUGAAAUGCGUAGAUAUAGGAAGGAACACCAGUGGCGAAGGCGACCACCUGGAAUGAUACUGACACUGAGGUGCGAAAGCGUGGGGAGCAAACAGG